CAACAGAAUAGAAAGCAGGAAACGCACUCACUAGCUGUUAAACAAGCAGAUUUGUCAUAGAUAGCUCUCGAACAAGACAAUAUAGCUUUCCGCCAGAGCUGCUGUUGUUAUGGAAAAUACAACUCAUAGAGAACCAAGAAGCGACAGUGCAGAUCAUCAAGCUGCUAUUGUUAUGCAAAAUACAACACGGAGAGAACCAGGAAGCGACAGUGCAGAUCAUCAAGGUAUUGCAGUUAGAGCCUUAUUUUCUCUCUUAACUUGUUGUGGCUGUGAUGGUCCGACCUAUCUCUGUAUUUCCUGCUGUUUAAGUCCUGUAGACAGAUAAAUACUGUUUAUAUACCUGUAUUCCAACAUGGAAAAGCCUAGUACUUUGGGUCCAUGAUGUGUCGCAAAUAACUUUAACAGUUUUACAGCAUUGCAUUCCAGCUGAAUUAGAUGAUUCCAAGCUACCUGCAGCUCUCUGCAACGUAUAUAUUGGGGCGUAACUGACUUACAGGUAUUUGUGGUCUCCACUUGGCUAUAAGUGUCUCCCUUUUGUUUUCUUAGGUUCCUUAUUCAAAAAAGCCACUUCAAGAGCAAUAAGCUGGUCUUAAAAAGCAUUUGUUCAGUUUUCUACAAGU
Molecule: long non-coding RNA, 620 nt
Organism: Stylophora pistillata
Lineage: Eukaryota; Metazoa; Cnidaria; Anthozoa; Scleractinia; Pocilloporidae
Source: RefSeq, a predicted model, not a curated record